This 24-nucleotide small RNA is filed under the name Arabidopsis thaliana (thale cress). Its description in RNAcentral is "ATSL255300". Lineage: Eukaryota; Viridiplantae; Streptophyta; Magnoliopsida; Brassicales; Brassicaceae. The record is from RNAcentral.
AUAUUAGAAAGAAGAAGAAAAAAA